GAAAUGCGAUAAGUAGUGUGAAUUGCAGAAUUCAGUGAAUCACCGAAUCUUUGAACGCACAUUGCGCCCUUUGGUAUUCCUUAGGGCAUGCCUGUUCGAGCGUCAUCUAAACCUUCAAGCCCUGCUUGGUGUUGGGUGCCUGUCCCGCCUCCGCGCGCGGACUCACCUCAAAUCCAUUGGCGGCCCCCGCGUCGGCCACGAGCGCAGCAGAAACGCGAACUCGUGAGCCCGUCCGGGCGGCUCCCAGAAGCUACACCCACCCAGUUUGACCUCGGAUCAGGUAGGGAUACCCGCUGAACUUAAGC
This 305-nucleotide unclassified non-coding RNA is filed under the name plant metagenome. Its description in RNAcentral is "partial contains 5.8S ribosomal RNA, internal transcribed spacer 2, and large subunit ribosomal RNA". The stretch from base 1 to 105 matches the Rfam family "5.8S ribosomal RNA", at positions 50 to 154 of the family's 154-position model. The record is from RNAcentral.